UGGCUUAAACGAAUAUUAGAUGAAGAAUUUAACUAAAUAUCUUCUUUCCCAAGGCAUUAUGGCCAUUACAGCCCUUAAUACGUGAUGAGAAACAGCCAAUACAAUUUAUACAACAUUGAUUCUUUGUGAUUAUAGCUGAUACAUCUCUAAUUCUUGGAGGGGCUAUCUCUACCAUUUGCUAUUUAUGGCCAGCUUGUACUUUAUAUGAUCAAGAUGCUGCCAAUCAAAGGUGGUUGAUAGUACAUGGAGGAGAAGAAGAGGCAUUUUGUGUUAAUCCACGGGGCCUGUCAUGGAGCAUGGUGUUGGUAUAAGGUAGCAGCAUUACUUAAAUCAGCUGGUCACAAAGUUACAGCUUUGGACCUUGCCGCUUCUGGAGUACACACCAAACAGGCGAAUGAUAUCUAUUCAUUCCUGGAAUACUUUGAGCCAUUUAAUGAAUUCAUGACGUCUCUGCCACCAGAAGAUAGAGUGAUUCUAGUAGCACAUAGUUUUGGUGGACUUGUUAUAUCUGUUGCAAUGGAAAGGUUUCCUGAGAAAAUUUCUGCCGGAGUAUUUGCUGCAGCUUUAAUGCCAGGUCCUGACCUCAAUUGCAUGGCUGUGAAAGAAGAGCUCAAUAGACAACUCGGCUCCUUCAUGGACUCACAAUAUACAUUUGAUGAUGGGCCAAGCAGUCUCCCGACCUCUAUACUUUUUGGUCCCAACAUCACGGAAACCAAGUUGUACCAGCUCUCUCCACCUGAGCAGGACCUAGUUCUAGCUAAACUCUUGAUGAGACCUCACCCUCUCCGUGACAAUGGAGCUACACAAAAUGUAGUGCUCACUAAAGAGAAAUAUGGAUCGGUUCCUCGAAUUUUUCUUGUCUGCGACCAAGAUUGCAUGAUAAAGGAGGAUCAACAAAGGUGGAUGAUAAAAAACAAUCCAACAGAUGAGCAAGACUCAGCCAGACACAAGGAAAAGCAAAGUUGGUUGGACAGGAUAUGGAGGACAAGGAGCAGAGGCAUUUUGUGUUGGUCCAUGGAGCCUGUCAUGGAGCAUGGUGUUGGUAUAAGGUUGCAUCUUUGCUGAAAUUGGCUGGUCACAAGGUUACAGCUUUGGACAUGGCUUCAUCUGGAAGAAACCCUAAGCAGGUGAAGGAUGUACAUUCUUUCUCUGAGUAUUUUGAGCCAUUAAUGGAAUUCAUGACGUCUCUGCCAGCAGAAGAGAAGGUGAUUCUUGUAGGUCACAGCAUGGGUGGUCCUUGCAUAUCUGCUGCUAUGGAAAGAUUUCCUGAGAAAAUUUCUGCUGGAGUAUUUGCUGCAGCUUUUAUGCCUGGCCCUGAUCUCAGUUACUUGACUAUAAAAGCAGAGUAUGAUAAACAAGUUAAUGACUAUCUAGACCCAGAACUAACUUUUGAUGAUGGACUAAACAACCCUCCAACUGGUUUUCUCUUCGGACCCAAGGGCUUGUCAACUUUCUUGUAUCAGCUCUCCCCCAACGAG
Molecule: non-coding RNA, 1478 nt
Organism: Jatropha curcas
Lineage: Eukaryota; Viridiplantae; Streptophyta; Magnoliopsida; Malpighiales; Euphorbiaceae
Source: RefSeq, a predicted model, not a curated record